Molecule: long non-coding RNA, 183 nt
Organism: Pieris rapae (cabbage white)
Lineage: Eukaryota; Metazoa; Arthropoda; Insecta; Lepidoptera; Pieridae
Exons: 2
Source: RefSeq, a predicted model, not a curated record
UUCCUCCUUGAGGUGGGCCGCAUCACAAAGACGUUGGGCUCUCUGAAACAAACAUUUACCGACAGAGAGCAGUUGUGACGGGUGGUGGUGGGAUUCACCAUUGAGGUACCUAUCUGUGUGGGUUGCCUUUCUGUGUAUUGUGUGACCUAGUGUGCCAUCUGCUUUGCGUAUAAUUAAAAUGUC